GAGGGCUUAGCUCAGCGGUAGCGCGCAUGCCUGGUGUGCACGAGGUCCUGGGUUCAAUCCCCAGUGCCUCCG
Molecule: transfer RNA, 72 nt
Filed under: Camelus bactrianus (Bactrian camel)
Lineage: Eukaryota; Metazoa; Chordata; Mammalia; Artiodactyla; Camelidae
Also listed under: 1 other name
Rfam family: tRNA
About the family: Transfer RNA (tRNA) molecules are approximately 80 nucleotides in length. Their secondary structure includes four short double-helical elements and three loops (D, anti-codon, and T loops).
Source: Rfam by way of RNAcentral